UGUAAAGAAGCACUUUCAAUUGUUAAUGUUGCUGAACACGUCAAACGUUCCUGACUUAUUGUAUUUCACAAAUAAUUUUUAACUUGUUUCAAUACAGAAAAAGAAUAUUCGCCAGAAGCAUUUGUGACAGCACCCAAAACUGAACUAGUCACUUGAGCAGAAAACAUGCCAAAUAACAGCCCAGUGCUCCCAAUUCUUCUCUGUAUACAAGUCUCCUUUCUUGGUAUUUAUACCUUUUGGGCCAGAUCAGGACAAAGAUUUGCCUGAUGCUAUGCAGUUGAUAAGAACUGUAUCUUUGAGGGUCUGGUCUGCUCAUGAACAGACCCUGUGUAAGAUGAGGCAAGUAACAAACCAUUAGUGUUCCCUGUUCAGUUUCAUUGUUUCAGAGAUAAUGUUUGUCCCUUAGUUGAGAUGCCAUCCUUGUAGCUUCUUCUAAGUUGUUUUCUACCAACUUCCCAUGUACCUUAUACUGAUUCAAUAAGCCUUUUAUGUACUCCUAAAAUAUUUUAGUAACCAGUGGCUGGUGAGGGUGGUUUGUUAGUUUAGAGAUAAAGCAGCGUGCAGUUUGUUUGCAUGUCAGAGAGGUAGGCAAAACCUUGAGGAACAUGGUGGGGUAGGGAGUAAAAGCAGUCCCUAAAUCAGUGGUUCUCAAACCUUUUUUUUUGCAGACCACUUGAAAAUUGCUGAGGAUCUCAAUGGACCAUUUAAUAAACUUUUUUUUUUGUUCUACAAAUCAAAGCACACAACUCAUAUUUUAAUAUAAGUAGUCUUACCUUACAAGUACAGAUAUUCUCAAUUGUUCUGCAACCUUUCUACAGACCACCUGAAUGGAGCUCGCGGACCAGUGGUGGUCUGUGGACCACAGUUUCAGAACCUCUGCUGUAGAGUGUAGGUUAGCAAUUGUAUUUGCUUCCUUGAAGGCAAUUCUUCUAUGUGAGGUAUGUCACAGACCAGCUGGGCACUGUGAGUGUAUCAAUUUUAUCACAGGCCAACUGGGCUGUUUGAUUCAGUUUCGGAUCGAGGAGGCAAAGUUGGGAGUGAAGUAAAGGCAAAUUUAUUAUAGCUUACACACACACAACAAUUAACAGAAAGAUAAAUGCGAUAAGCAGAUAAUGCAGUAUUAAAGAGCUAAUAGUAAAUAACAGAUAAUAACAACAGAUAGAUAGAUCAAUUCUGUUGCAGGCCAACUGGGCACUGUGAGGGUAUUAGACACUGGGCUGUUCAAAACAACAGAUAGACAGACAUGGGUUGGCAACUUAUCGAAAGUCCCUCAAUGCCAGGUAUGCGCCAAGUGAUUCCAGUGAAGUCAGGUGUCCCCAAUUAACACUAUCGGAGGGAUUACCAGGGAAGCUCGCUUGAUCAGGAUCCGAUCCUCACUCACACCGGAAGUCCGGGGUCCAGGCAUGGAACAGAAAUGACCAUUCUGUUCCCUCCUUCUUGCUGGUUACCUAAUGCACAUGCUUUUUAUAUCUAGUCUUAUGCUAGUCUGUUGGCUUUAGAGCCACUCACAAUGUUGCCCUAUAGCUGUUACCCUAUGGGAUUGAAAGGUGUUAAAAAUUAUCAUAAAAGGUUACUACCCAAACUCGGGUUUAUCCAAUAAGCAAAUUAUAAUGCAGCAUCUUUAGGUUUGAAAUUGACAUUGCUCCGCCUAAGCCCCAACCCCUUCUAGGUUUCAUUUGAAUAUGCUUUCUUGGGAUGUGCUUUCCUGGAAUAUGUUGGGUGUGCCAGGCAGUUGGAUCCAGUUUUUUAUCGUUAAAGCUGAACCCUGAGCAGAAACCGUUAGGUCAGCUAAUCUUGCAUCUACAGCUUUGCCUAUGGGGCCCAGUCAGUUUCACGAACAGUUAAUUUUAUCAUUUUGGUUAAACUUAUGACAGACAAGUUACAUUUGUGGUUUACAAACUUACAAGCUUUAUUUUAGCUAAUAUUACCUGUUCAUGUAAAAUACCAAAUGCCUCUAAGAAGCAUAUAUUUAUUGCUUAUUAAUCCCUCUGGUUCUGGCCUUGCAGAGGUACAGUUGCUCACUUAUGGGGGGCAGGAAGUAGAAAAAGGUCCAUUUAUUAAGGCUAAAUUCUGAGCUUGCAGAUGGGGGUGUUGGUUAUAGCUUAUAGUCUAAUAAAAGAUAGCACACUUAUCCAAAGAGCCUUGCCUGCCUCCGAGCUUGAAGGUGUGCAGUGAUGUUCUUCACUAGAAUAGUUCCACUGUGUGUUCUGGAUGCCCUUAUGAGUAUAGCUACCUAAUUUUGAAUAAAGAACAAGGUAGCUCUGUCCCAUAAGGUUAAAGCCAUAACAGAGUAUUCUCUUUACCUUAAAUUCUAUGUUAUAUCCCCUGAAGACAUUAGGUAAUUUCAUAGUGAAAUAAUGUAUUUUUUCAAUGAUUGCUCAGACAUUUAGGGGUUAAUGUCCUGUGCCUCUUGCUUUUAUUUGUGCCUCAUUUUUUCUACACUAUACAUUCCUUAAACAGAGUAUUUUUACUGCUGCAAUUCUAAAUUUUGUACUGAAAAAAUAUUGUGAAAAUUACUUUUCAUCACAGGAAUGCAAUACCUGGUAUUUGAAAAAAGGGCUACUGAAUAACUCUCAAAUGGUGCUGAGAUAAUAACACAUUUCUUGGUGUGCAAUGCAUGCAGUAAACACAUGUAUAUGAAAAAGUUUUCCCUCUCUUGAAUCAUCCAUGGUGCAGUCAUCCUUGUCAGUAUAUGGUAUAGAGGUAGACACUUGGCAAGGCUGCCAGCUUACACCUGCCCCAGUAUAACAGCAUCCAGGGUCAGCUCAGGAAAAAGAAAAUAACAAGGGUAGAACAAAGUAUAGGUUAUUAUUAAUAAUAACAAAAGUAAAUCUAAUGAGUCAAAAGAAAGAAUUUAGUUGGCUGAGGUCUCCUCCACAGAGCUGAUAGGUGGGGAAGGGGUUGAACAGGGUUAGAUGUCCAAUUAGAAUUAUAUUGAUAAGUACCAUUCAGGGUUUUCUUGGUCCUCCAGCAUGUGGCCAAGCUUUUGUGUAGUGAUGAGAUUCUGGCUUUCUGUCAAUUCUGAAAAUCCAUGUCAGUGCCAGAUUCCCCAUCUUUGAGAUCCUCAGAUGUCUUGGUGGUGUAUGCUACAAACCACUGCUCAGUGCUUAUGGCCCACUACAAAAUCAUGGGCAGCUCCCAAGGACAGGUGACAUGAGAAUUGCUGAAGGUCCAGGUCUUAUCUUUUACUUUCUUGUAAGAAGAUUUCUGAUUGUUGUUUUUUAUUUGCCAUAAAAUAUUUGUUAUAUUUGUUUAUUUGUUGUAUUUUAUUUCACAUUGCCUCCUGAUAGUGACCUUGUUCAGCCAUCCCCUUACCAUUGACUUAAGAAAAUAUCCUUGCUGAGAUAUUGUAUAUCAUCUGGCAGGUUUCCUGAAUCUUUACCUUUCCCCAGAUGGCAAGGAGAUUCAGUGCCUCUGCACUGUGCCUCUGCAGGUUUCACACUGGUAUACAAGACACUGAACCAGGAAGAGUGCAGUAAUACUAGCUGUAGUUCAUGGAUGCUGAAUCCAGAAAAAUGCAACUGGAGAAAAUGUAUUGAUCUUGACUAUGCACCAGCAUUAAAAAGGGUGGUGGCAUCCAGUCACCAUGGCCCAAAACAGAAAAGAGGUGAGUCCUGGCAGAAUGACUGAUGGAGGACUUCUACAAUAGCAGGCAGUACAGGUUUCCUUUGCUUUAUGCUGUACAUGCAUUCCUGGAAAACGGCGCAUAACUUGAAUUUGCAUAAAGGGAACCCACUUUAUAAUGUAACAAAUAGGGAUACGUUCUAAGACCUCGACUGUACUCACCUCCAUACCCAUUUCUACCACUUUUACAAGACAAUCUUGGUACUCACCAACACAAGCACAGGGCACUAUCAUAAUGGGGAUGGCAACUACAGAAACACGUCACAGACAAUGACCGAGGAGCACAGAUCCACAAGGAGACUAUAUUUUGGUGCGUGUCAGUCCCACAAUGCACCACACCAAGCAGCUGACUGUGGCCUUCCACCACACCAAUCACAUGAGAGUGAAUUUACCUUGCAUAUAAUGAAUUUUUGGUAUAAAAAGGGUCAUCGAAUUCGCACAUACAGAACCCGCAUAAAAUGAGGGAAACCUGUACAGAUGUAUCCACACAAACAUUAGUGCCUAUUAACUUCAUAUGCAGUGAAGUCACUCCAGUUUCAAAAAGAUUUGUAGAAUAUACAUUACCCGACCUGUUAAAAUGUACUCAGAAUUGCAUCAUGUGAACACCACUCAUUCCAAAUCAUGGAAGCUGAGCUCAGUGCAAAUAAAUAGUCCCCCUCACCAACCUUGUAGACAAGCCUUUACUGUACCUGAGUGUCUGAAACCAGCUCAUGGCAGUUCCGCUCCUGAAUCCUAGCACUUUUACAAAGAACUGCAAAUGCAAAAGACAGAAAGUCCUUCUGGAAAAGUACCAAGCAUGAACUGUUAGGAUUCCAACAAAGGAGUGCAACUCCGGCAAUCAAACCUUCUUUUCUUUUAAUCAGAAAUGAGAAAUGAAAUUCAAUUUUGGAAAAUUGUUUUUUCAUUAAAAACUAUAGCUGUCUGUGUUCUGAAAAACCCUGGAGGUCUAAAGAUGAUAUCAGUAUAUAAAUAUUCAGUGCUUCCUGCAUUUUUUUCCAGAACAGGCUUUUUCUCCCUGUUUCAAUCUCUUUGACCUUUAGAAAACAGUCAUUAUUUGUAGCUUGAUUUUUUCAAGAUGUUCUCCAGUACAUAUAGAUGGCAGCGAAUUCAAUUUAAAAGUCAACUCAUGAAAUGCAAUAUAAUAGUCAGAAGAUAGCAUUGCUUUAGGCGUCAUUUUUAUUAAGUGAACAGCCAUUCAAAGUAUUUUACCUUAGAGCAUAUUAUAUUCUAUUCAAAGGAGUUUGUUUCCUUCAACUCAGCAACCAAAGCAUUUUGCAAGAGAUAUGAUAUUUGUACUAUCCACAGGCAUAUGGCUAAAAUGUACAGUUCACAGCUGUAUUUGAGAUGAGUCUUCUUCCUUGCUCUUACAAAGCAUGGUAUAAAGGACUGAUAUAGUCAAAGCUCUUAUUUUUUUCUUAAAGGGAGCAACACUUCAAUAAUUUUCCACAGAACAGCUGCAAAAAUACCUACAAUCUAGCAUCUGGAAUUCUUAAAAGUGACUUGUGGAUUUGUGGCUAAUGAAACAUUGCUAAAUAACACUCACCAUGUUGUAAAAUAAUACCCUUAACGGUUUAUUAGCUUCUUGGAGGACAAAGCUGAAAGGUGCCCCAAGCAUGUUAUUCUGCUGUAAUUAUAAAAAACAUAAAGUUAGAAAGAAACAGUAUGAGCCCUUGAAUGUUUUCCAGUAGAACUUGAUGUGGAGACACCCCUGUGUAACCUCAAAAGAGGAUUAAAGAUUUUGUGGUAUUAAAAAACAUAUUAUAAUAACUGGAGGCUGCAGGCCUGCUUAUGAACCCCUCACUGGUGAAUAUCAAUGAAGUUCCCCUUGAUUUACACGAAAACGCCAAAAUCUACCCCUAAUGUUUUGCCUAAUUCCAAAUUUUCAAGACAAAAAUUUGCUACUAAAAAAGUUGGUCAUUUCACUGAGGGGAGUAGUAAUUGGUUACUAGCUGGGAGUAGUAUGCCUGAAGGGAGAAGGGUGGGGAAAGAACAAGUAGUGUAGGAACACAGCAAGGCACCGGAGUACAGGGGCAGGAGCUGCUUUUCUUUGCCCCCCGCUAAGUCAGCACCGGGAGUGGUUGCCCCAUCCGCCCCACCCUAGUUAUGUCACUGGGAAGAACUAGUCCAUCCAAGGGCUCAGGGCCAUACACACACAUAAAUAUAUGUAUAAGUUCUAGGUAGUGUUGGAAUGAUGUUGUAGCCAUGAUGAUCCAGGAAAUAUGCAAGUGGCAUAUUUUUUUUGCAUGAUAUCUUUUACUGGACCAACUGCAUGCUUGAAACAGACUGACGAGUUUUGAAAUGCAGUGCCAUUCUUCUUCCAUCACUGUUACAAGACAGGACAUGGCAAAAUAGUAUCUCUGAUCCAAUUUUCAAAUAAAUAAUUAUCUCAUGACAAAAACAUUGUGGAAGAAAGUAUUUUUUUCUUUAUAAACAAUAAAAUACUCUGAUAAGCUUGCUUCCCUAAAAUAAGGUCUUAGGAUUUGCAUUUUAUUACCAAAUAAGGACCAGCUGUCCUAGUCAAUAUUUGUUUCUGUGCGUUUCAGCCUGGGAGUUCGAGGGCAAAAAUGUAGGAUCUGAAGAUGACCUGGGAUAACAGCAUAUUAGCACUUAGCGGUACCAGGUAGAGCAGCUCAAGGAAGCUGCAGAUGCAAUGUCUGAACAUCUAUUAGAGAAUUAGUGCAGCAGAUUCUGAUGCCACUACAAUGGACUGUUGUAACAAUUGCAGAACAGCUGUCCUAAUACUCUUACCUGCUGCCAGUAUGAGAAGAGCCACAACUACAUGUUCUUUUUCUCCCCCAAAAUCAUGUACAUGCUAUGGCUUGGUCUGUAGCUUUGGCUAGGUCCUUAAUAUUACACAUCUCUUCCAGGAGUGCAUAGGCUAAUACAGGGGUGGGCAAAAGACGGCCUGUGGGCCAGAUGUGGCCUGCCAGGCCAUUCAAUCCGGCCUGCAGGGCCCCUAAAAAAUUUAGAAAAUUAAUAUUUAUCUGCCCCUGGCUGCCUGUCUUGUGGCCCUCGAUGGCUUGCCAAAACUCAGUAAGCGGCCUUCCGUCCGCAAUAAUUGCCUGCCCCUGGGCUAAUAGAUUCUCCAUGGUCUGUGUUUCCCCAUGUUCACAUGUAUCUAUGUCAUUACAGUACCUCUCUUUCCAUAUGUUUCUUUUGCCCUGCCAACUCUUGUUUAGAGGCAAUUCAAAAUUCUCCACAUUGGCCAACCUGUUCACACACCUGCAAAUAGGUAUUCAGCAACAUCAAUGUUUAUUUGCAAACUGUCAUUGAUGCAGUUGCACUGAUUGCAUCACUAUUUCCAUUCAUGCAGCUGUUUCUUAAGUUUCUUAAGUGGUGAAAAAGGUUUUUUUGUGACUUAAGUCAGUGAGUAGCCAUAAGCUGUUUAUGUAUUAGGCGCCUUGUAUCUUUAACCUGUUGUGUGCAUUCUUUCUUGUUUGCAACUGCUCUCAUAAUAUCUGUAUAGCAAGUAUGUACAGACUGUUCACAUUAGUUUGUCUCAAGCAUUUCAUAAUGUAUCAGCAACUCAUAUUCAGUGCAGGGGGAAGUCAUUCUGCUUAGUCCCUUUGAACAUUGUGGAUUCAAAGUACCAGCUGUCUUUAAUGUAGUUACAUUAACAUUUCACUUAGGAGAGGCUAGUACUUCUCAGACUCAGACUUACAGAAAGCUGUUUAUUUGACAAUGUAAGCCCAUUUCUGUUCUUCAUUUAUCUGCAAGCAAAUUUUGGAUUUUGACAUAUUUGUUCAUAAUUCAGUGAACAGCUUAUACAAAUACAUUUCAAUCAAUGGGUGCUCAUAACGCUACAUGGUGAUUUCACCUUAUAAUGUCCACUGUUUGUGGUUCGCAGUUUACAUGGUGAUUGUUUCCAUGGUGCUGUUUCAGCUGUCUGGAUGGUCCCUAUGCUCCAGAGUUUUCAGAAUGGCCACCUAAAAUUUACUGGUACAAAUACUCAGGCAUAUAUACCAGCAUGGGUAUUUCCCAUACCUUUCCUCCUUGCAAACAUCUUUGUGAACAACAUUUCUAUUGUGACCCUUUUGGGAAAGUAAACAAAAGGAGCCACGAGAAAAUCAGAACUAAUGUCUUGUUUUUACGCAAGUAUUUUUGUUUGCAUUGUUUCCCAAGUUUUGGAUAGUGUUGCCAAAAAAUGAGAGCAAGUAGCUGGCAGAGAGAAAGAGAAAAAUAGAGGUAGUAAUAGUGUAGGGACGAGACAGGGAAUUAAAUAUAGAAAGAAUACAAUAAAUGGGAGGAGGUGAAAUAAAGAAAAAUAUGGAAGAAAAAUUAAUAUGGCAUGUAUACGCCACUCACUUGGGUUACUUGAGCUUUAGCUAAAUAUGUUCUUAAAAAUGGAAACAUUCUUAUGAGCAUUCUGCAAAUGGAGUAAAUAAGUAAAGGGAAUGCAAUUGUUGCAAUAUGUAUAUAUUGAAUUUUAAUAGAGCACUUUUAUAUUCAUUCCUGUCCUCCAAAUUAAUUUGUAUUGUCUUGGGCAUGGACACUGUCAUAUGGCAUAAAAACUGACUAGAGGACAGUAAACCUGGGACAAUAUAACCUGCAAUGUGUAGAAUUGCAGAGGGGAUGUGCAUGCAUCUAAUAAGCUACUACAGGAACUGGUGUUGAUAAGUUAUGAUUUACAAUGCGACAGUAUGGUAUAUCAGGAGAUAGAGGGGUGAAAUUCUAUCAGGAAAAAUUUGGGAUGAAUAUAGAAAAUGUUUCCAAACAGGAUGAUCCAAUAAAAACUGUAGAAUGAGUUUUCAAGGGAAGGUCCCAGAACUUAUUACUAAAGACUUUUACAAAUAGGCAGAACAAACCACUAGGAAACUUACUGAAAGAAAUAGUCUUGUAUUAGAAAGGAGCACAAUACCAAAUAAAUCCUUUCCUUUAAUUUCUAUGGAUGUCAUUGUGUUAUUAGUUGCAACUCCAGUCUGGUAUACUGAAAGGCAGGGUGACUUUAAUAAGUACUUUGGGAGUUCUGUAAAAUUCAGGUCACCAUGUUAUCACCCUGUUACAGACUGUGCCCUAGCACAGGUGUUGUCCCUCGAUAUCAGGCUAGCUUAUCUUUCCAUUUCCUGACAUUUUGCAUUUCCUGACAUUCUCUUCUGACCCCACCCAGACCCUACAGAGAAGCUGGAGAGGAGCAGUUGCCUCCAGAGGGUACACAGACUACAACUGAAUUCAGUUGCCGGGAAGGGCUGCGGAUGACAAAUACAUAUUAUUUAUAAUGGCAAUAAAUAGAACAGGUUCAUUUGUGUCCUAUCUGAUUAUGGCCAGUAUUUAUGACGAUUAUGAUGUGUAUUCCAAGUUCUGAAUACAAUACUUGCACUGAAAAGAUGACCUCAGCCACAGUAUUUUCUUGUGGUGCUGCUGGGAUGCCCAAGCUCAAUCUUUUCACAUCGGGGGGACAGAUUGAUGGCAGCAGUGUUUUUGCCUUAUUCUUGAAUCUCUGAAAUUUAAAUUCCUUUAGUGCAGAAAGAGUCUAUAUUUGCAAAACUUAAUUGGUGACUUGGAUGACUCAUAGUUUGGAUGUUCAACUAGAGAAAUGUAUAAGAAAUGGAUUUUCAAAGGCUGGAUGCUCAGGACUUUCUGAAAAUCAGGUCCUUUUGAGAUCCAUCAGGUUGGAUAUCCAAAGAAGGAAGGUACCCCAAAUUAUUUAUUUAUUUUACUUAAAAACAAAGAUCUGGUUCUUCUGUUUUAACACAUAGACACUAUAGUAAUGAGUACAGUAAAGGAACCUACAUAAGACAUUCAAUUUAUUUAGUGUAUAUGGUUUUGGCAUAUUGUUUCAGUCAUCUUAAGGCGAUGUCAUCACCAGUAUAAAGAGCUUGACGGCCACCAAGUACUAGGUAGUAUAGUAAAUGGACACAAGUCAACCAUGUGGGACAUAGUUUGAACUUGUCCACCAGGGCAUUUGUUGUCAUUGUGAAGGCCUCAUUGGUAUGCGUUUUAGGUGCAAUGACUCUGUCCAGUUCAAAAAUGGUUAAGAAGUGUCCAAUAAAGGCAUGGCCAGAUAAAUCCUUGUUGACUGACUGUAGGGUCAGAGAUGAUGUAGUAACUGAUUGAAAGAAUCACAUAAAAAAGGAUCACAUAAACUGAUUCGUCAUUCUUAAAUUCUAGCCCUUUGUUUUAGGCAGAAUAGAAACAAAGAGAAAGGUGUAUUUAGGUGGAAUUUAGAUGUAAUACUAGCUACAAGUGCUCUCAGCUAUCUUAAUUCAAUUUCAGGUGGACAAUAAAACCUCACUUGAUUCAUUUCUUUUCCUCCCUAUACCAGGAGAAUUACCAAACUAAAUCUAAAGGAAGUUGUCUUUUUUUUAGAUUGUGAGACAUUGCUGAACCCACAAAAGUUUGCAAUAAUUUAAUUAAAACUAGUUUUUAAAUACAUUUAAUUAAAACAGUACAAAUCCUGAUGCAAACACACAUAACUUGAUUUAUAUGUUAGUAUUAAUUUAUUUUAAUUUGAUAAUCUAGUCCUUCAAGAAUUUCUAAAAUACUUGAACCAUGCUUAGUGUACUAUUUAGUCUAUUCACUUUUUGUUUGCAUUCAGUUUAGUACAAUAUGGGCACAUCUACAUGUUGUCGUACAGCGAUAGAUGAUUACUGUGCCAUGUGUGUGGCUCAUGGUUAGAUUUUGCUGCUACUGGUCAUAGCUGCACACUACACGAGGGGAGUGUGACACCACAGUGACAUAGCUGGAGAUCACGUAUAGACUCUGGUGAUUGCUACGUCGCUGUAGUGUGCUGUAUGGUGAUGUGUAGACAGACAUGUCCUAAAAGAAUGAAACUCUUUAAGAAGGCGUGAUAAACAAGUAUGACACUGUUCUAUAGCAGGUCAAAUCAAUAAAGGCUUCACACUUUUUUGAUGACUUGAAUCCAGCUGUGCUGAAAGAGACACUCAGAAGCCUAUCCAAAGUUUCUUUCCUAACUCAAAUUUAAGUUGAAUUGAUUUUACACUAGUUUAAAGAAACUGAUUUAAAAGCCAAAUUAAACCUAUGCAACAUCUGUAUGUAAAAAAAAAAAAAAGCUUUGGACAAAUAUUGUUAAGAUUUCAACAUGGAAACAGGUGCCUUAAAUUUCUAAUAUAAUAGUUGAUUUCCAGGAAAGAGAGCAAUAA
Long non-coding RNA from Alligator mississippiensis (American alligator), 10724 nucleotides. RefSeq lists it as uncharacterized. The transcript is spliced from 4 exons. The record is from RefSeq and is a predicted model, not a curated record. Lineage: Eukaryota; Metazoa; Chordata; Crocodylia; Alligatoridae.